This 507-nucleotide long non-coding RNA is filed under the name Solanum tuberosum (potato). Its description in RNAcentral is "long non-coding RNA (STUB_LNC007553)". The record is from RNAcentral. Lineage: Eukaryota; Viridiplantae; Streptophyta; Magnoliopsida; Solanales; Solanaceae.
UUGUUCCUUAUGGCACCAUGUAAACCACCAGCAAAGAAAGCAAGAGUUGAUCGUCUUGAUGGCGAUGGACCUCCAAUGAUUCCUAUUGUAUCAUCCGUCUUGAGAUUGAUUUCAGGUAAUGAUACAUCUUUCUGAGGAUUAAAUCCUUCUGUAGUAUUCGCAUUGCAUAGAACUCUUAUUGAAUUGUUGAAGAGAUGUGGCACGUAUGAAGUCGUGUGUGGCCCCUAAAAAACAAACAUUUUGAUCUCAAAGGUAGAUAUCACAUAAGAAGGAUUUAACUUAUACAUACUGACAAUGUAAAGAAUGUUUACUCGCAUAUUCUAAACAGUUUCAUGUAGUUAUCUUUUAGAUGACUUGAAGUUAAACUCGAUUACAUUUUGCUUACCCAAUCAUGGCAGGAGAGCAUGAAGUGAUCAGCACCAAGACUUGUAUUCCAGAAGGAAUGUCUUGAAGAAAUGACAUGAAUAUAAUCAGCAACUGUUCUACCAAUGACAUGCCUGCUGUCAG